UACGGAGGAUGCGAGCGUUAUCCGGAUUUAUUGGGUUUAAAGGGUGCGUAGGCGGGAUGCCAAGUCCGCGGUAAAAAUGCGGUGCUCAACGCCGUCGAGCCGUUGAAACUGGCGUUCUUGAGUGGGCGAGAGGUAUGCGGAAUGCGUGGUGUAGCGGUGAAAUGCAUAGAUAUCACGCAGAACUCCGAUUGCGAAGGCAGCAUACCGGCGCCCUACUGACGCUGAGGCACGAAAGCGUGGGUAUCGAACAGG
RNAcentral lists this ribosomal RNA (252 nucleotides) under uncultured bacterium. Its description in RNAcentral is "partial 16S ribosomal RNA". It matches the Rfam family "Bacterial small subunit ribosomal RNA", at positions 524 to 776 of the family's 1533-position model. The record is from RNAcentral.